Molecule: ribosomal RNA, 445 nt
Filed under: uncultured bacterium
Lineage: Bacteria
Description: partial 16S ribosomal RNA
Rfam family: Bacterial small subunit ribosomal RNA
Source: RNAcentral
GUGAGGAAUAUUGGACAAUGGGCGCAAGCCUGAUCCAGCCAUGCCGCGUGCAGGAAGACGCAUCUAUGGUGUGUAAACUGCUUUUGUACGGGAAGAAACACUCCCUCGUGAGGGAGCUUGACGGUACCGUAAGAAUAAGGAUCGGCUAACUCCGUGCCAGCAGCCGCGGUAAUACGGAGGAUCCAAGCGUUAUCCGGAAUCAUUGGGUUUAAAGGGUCCGUAGGCGGUUUAAUAAGUCAGUGGUGAAAGCCCAUCGCUCAACGAUGGAACGGCCAUUGAUACUGUUAGACUUGAAUUACAAGGAAGUAACUAGAAUAUGUAUUGUGUCGGUGAAAUGCUUAGAUAUUACAUGGAAUACCAAUUGCGAAGGCAGGUUACUACUUGUGGAUUGACGCUGAUGGACGAAGGCGUGGGGAGCGAACAGGAUUAGAUACCCUAGUAGUCC